AGACAGGAUUGUAAGGAUUGCUGGUCAGUGCUGUUAUCCCCUGCUGUGAGGUCGCUGUGGGAGUGCAUGCAUGCACGACCGCAUCAAGGCACACCAUUAUACCACUAAACUGCAUGCCAGCCCUAAGGAAAAGGAGCAUAUGUAGAGGUGCAGUAUCCUAACUAUUCUGGACAGAGACUUCUGAUGCUGCACAUGAAAUCGGCAAGACCACUGUUCCAGUUUUGGCUUUACAAGGAUGAAGUGUGACAGAAGAAGAUGCAAGGCUGUUCCCGUCGGCACUGUGGAUAAAACAGUUGACUCUGCGCUUGUGAGCACAGUCAGCGUGCUGGCUGAAAUCAAGACCGCUUCCCUUGCAUGACUGUGAGUGGAAG
Long non-coding RNA from Oreochromis aureus, 371 nucleotides. The record is from Ensembl. Lineage: Eukaryota; Metazoa; Chordata; Actinopteri; Cichliformes; Cichlidae.